CUGUGCACAUUAUUUGAAGGGUCAUAUAAUUGACUAACGACGUGACCAUUCGAGCAUUAUUGACCAUAGACAUAGAAUUAAUAGAUGAAUAGACACCCGUUACAAAAUACAUAUACAUUCAUGUGCCAUACGUCGAGAGCUCCCCCAGCAUCAUUAUGAUGGAAGCAGUCAAUGGAGAAAAUUAAGGAUCUCCAUGUCUCGGUCGCCAUGCCUUCUAUCGAUCAAGGAUGGCACAGUUGGAGGUGGAACCCAGCCCGCACCUCCGCCCGCUUGCCUGAAUUUUGCUUGGCAUGAAGGGAGCAAGCAUGGAGUCGUCCGGUGCCGUGCAUUAGCUGCUAACGCAUGGCUCCUGGCCACCAUUGUUGCAGGGGCAGUCCUUUCAGGUUAGCUGUCCCUCACAGUCCGCAAUUUCCAUGGGGCAUGCAGCUCGUGAAGAGCCGGCAGCCACAUGAAGUACGCACAAACGGUCGAGCAAGGAUGUGUCCGAAAUCGCCCCAUAAUUGAAGGGGCUAAAAAAGAUACGGGCCCCUCCCCCUGCCCCGGGAAUCAAGCGAAUCGAGAGGUAAUAAUGGGAUCGAUGGGACCGAGAGGGAUUAAACCGAGUUGGAGAAAAGCCAACUCCUCACGGUUGGGUCCAUGAGUUCCCCCUGCGUCUCUUUCGUUAGGGACCAAUUUUGAGGGUCUUAACAUGGCGCAGUCCUAAAAUUAUGCAAAAAAAGGUUAAAUUUCAGUACUCCUAAAAAGUAUCAUUUUGGCUCAAUUAGUUUGGUUUCGGAGUUUGAUUUUAAAAUCAUGAUUUUGAUUUUAACUCUACCCACUACAUAAUAAAAACACACGUUUCCCAAGUCAAAUUUAAAUACCAUCUCAUUUGUCAUUUUCCACAAUCAAAAUCAAAAUCAAAAUCAAAGUUACUUUAACUCUGAAAUCAAACGCACUUUAAAUGUUUAGUCCGUUAGAUAGUUUUGAUUCAAAAUCAUGAUUUUGAGGUUAAUUACAUUAAAUCAGUACACAUGGCACCUCCUGAGUGGUCGAAUAAUAUUUUUAAUUUUUAAAACUUUCAAAAAAUAAAAUAAAAAUAAAAAGGUGAAAACUAAUAGCACUUAAAAAUAAAAAAAUAAUAAUAAAUGAAGGGAAGAUCGGACUAGCUAAAGGAAGAAUCCAAAAAUAAUUUUGGACCAGAAAAUAUUUAACGGACGAAUCGUCUAGAAAUGGUUGAGUCAAACUAAUACUUAUAGGAUUGAAGUUUAACUUUUCUUUUCACAUAGUUUUAGGGCUUUAGUAGUAAUUUUGCGGUUUUAUAAUUGCUCUGAUUGCUCGACUAUAUCAAGUCGGUGGACCAUUCUCUUCUCGGUUAGAUUUCACUUAUUUUUCUUGACAACUCUCCGCCCCCCAUCAGUUUCUCGUGUAGAUUUCCUCCCGCUUUGAAUAUUACUUCAUGCCGUGCAAAUUCGGAGGACAUGGACAUUGGUGUCUCUGGUCUGCUGCGGGUAAAGUGGAUGCAUGGCUCUCUGUGUCAUAGCAAAACAAUUUGAUGAUGCCUCACGGGGGAAAACAGAACGAAAUCAGACAACAAUAUAAGAAUGACGAAGUCGAUGCCGCAGCCAGCCAGCCAGCCAGCCGCCGCAGCAGUAAAUUCUCAGAGUACAAAGGGAAAGAAAUGGCAGCACGAGCAGAUCCACCAUUGCUGAUUAUGCUUAUCCAGCUCCAUAAGGUAAACUCUCAACCAAAACGUCAACAAUAGGACCCGCAUACUCACUCAUAGCUAAGUGACCGAACUACUUCUCAACGGCCCAUUCAUGCCCGAUCCAACUACAUUAAAUUUGGGUCCAGGGUGGAGGGUUUGAUGGGGACUCUAGUUAUUUAUGCUGACAAACACAAAACGUGGACAAAAGAGAGACAUAUUUCAUAAAUUAGAUAUUGAAUAUACAAAUGGAGAAUCUAAAUUGUUAUAAUAAUAUUAUAAAAAUAAAAUAAUGUAAGGCAACCAACAUGGGUUGGUUCAAGUGGUUAGGUGCUUGUUCCCCUUAAGCAAGGUCUCGGGUUCAAGUAUUGUAAAUGGAGAAAAUCCACGCUAGAAGAGCUUUACCCCAUAGUGGACUGAUCUGGCUUGACUGGAUUAGUCAUGUCCUAUUAGUUUUUCGGAUGUCAGGAAUCAUACCGAAAAAGAAAAUAACGUAAGGCAUGUGAUAAUUAAUGAAUUUGGCUUAUAAAAAGGCAUUAUUAAUUUAUUUAUGCUGAUAAACACAAAAUGGGGAGAAAAGAGAUAUAUUUUUCAUAAAAUAAAUAUUAUAGUUCAUAAGAUACAACAUGUAAAUAUAUAAAAAUGAAGAAUAUAAAUUGGAAUAAUAUUAUAAAAAUAAAAAUUAAUAUAAGGCAUGUGAUAAUUAACAAAUUUUGCUUAUAAAAAGGCAUGAUUUAUGUAUUCUGACGUCCAAAAUAGAGACAAAAGAUAUAUUUUUCUGCGAGUUCAAUACUAUAGUAAAUAAAAUAAAUAACGGAAGGUUUAACCAUUUUUAAAAAAACUCUUUGCAAGUUCAUUGCUCUUUCUUACAUCCUAUAUUCUUUUCAUCCAUUGCUGAAAGGAACUGGUUUAUAUAGUAAUAUCUAUAGUAUAAUAAACUAUGUAAUAGACGGCAAUAUAGAAAACAGUUGUUUCAUUUGGUCGGCCUGAAUCCCAUGUGACUAUCCAUAGACUAAUAUAUUCUUCAGGGAAUCACAAAAGAUAUACCUAGAAAUUUGAAAAUCUCAUAAAUUCGUCACGUUUCCUAUGAUAUAUAAUUAUUAUAGCUCUUCAGAAAAUAUCGAAGAUUGCAAAACUCAUGGAAGUAAUUUAUGGAAAAAAUUGAGCCUUUUUUAUUUCUUGAUCAUUUAAUAGAUUAGUUGAUGUCUUACAGAAAAGGAAUAGAUUAGUUGAUGUGGACGAAGUCAAGAAAGCAUGUGUUAAUUGAUUAACGCACAAUUAACCUUUUUUUUAUUUUCUUGAAUUUUUGUUUGAUGUUUUUGUUUGGUUAAGCAGUGAGUCGAAUAAACCACCAAAAGCUGCUUGCCCGGUGGUCCAAUAUUUCAUGUUUGGCUUGGCUAGCAAAGCCUUUGAUUGUUACUCUCGAUGUCAUCAACUUGACAAAAAAUUUCUAGCUACUCUUAUUAAUUCCAAGCCGGCUAGGAACAUUUACUUAAGUUUGAAUUUCAAUUUUCUGCGGAAUCCAUAAGUCGUAUUGCCAUUAUUUCCAUUUCAACAAUCCGUGACAGAGAGGACGCGAUGUUUAACUGCUCUUUUCUCUCGACAUUGGUAGAUACGUAUUAUUCUUUUUAUUUUCCAUAAUUUAUCGAUACAAAAAAUAACGUAUUGUGAAGCUAAAGUUUUCUAGGCCAUGCUUCUCCAUAUUGCCGAUCAAUGGACUAGCAAAAACCCAUUAAUUGCCCUAGAAAAUAAAAAGGCACCAAAAAUUCUACUGAAUGGAGGAAUCGAAUCCAAAAACUCUCUGAUUUCAUACAUUAUGUUUAAGCAUUGUUUCCUAUAUCUGUAUUUGUGACGGAUGCGUGAGGCUCCAGGGCGUCAUGGAGGAUCGACUUUGUCCGCUGAACUGUCUGAGCCUCCGAUGAGUAACAGUAACCUAAGCUUCUUCUUCCUAUGUUAGUUUGUCUAAUUUUGUACUGCGGUUGUGUUACUGGACUGUAAUUCUUUUUUGGUGUGCGUCUUGGCAUUUAGAAGUCCAAAGAGCUCCGACUAAUUUAGUUCAAGUUAGGUCGGUCCAUUAAAGGAUGAAGCUUUCCAAGCGUAAAAUUUCUUCAUUCACAAGACUCGAACUUGAGACAUUGUUUAAAGCAAACAAAUGCUGAAUCAGUUGAACCAACCCUCGUUGAUUGUUGUAUUAGUGUAACCUUGUAACAUUUGAUCUAUUUUAUUUUUUCGAUAAAUAAAAUUUAU
Punica granatum (pomegranate) is the source of this 3928-nucleotide non-coding RNA. The record is from RefSeq and is a predicted model, not a curated record. Lineage: Eukaryota; Viridiplantae; Streptophyta; Magnoliopsida; Myrtales; Lythraceae.